RNAcentral lists this transfer RNA (68 nucleotides) under Marmota monax (woodchuck). Its description in RNAcentral is "tRNA.Ala". The stretch from base 4 to 63 matches the Rfam family "tRNA", at positions 6 to 65 of the family's 71-position model. From Rfam's summary of the family: Transfer RNA (tRNA) molecules are approximately 80 nucleotides in length. The record is from RNAcentral. Lineage: Eukaryota; Metazoa; Chordata; Mammalia; Rodentia; Sciuridae.
GUUUGUGGCUCAGUGGUGGAGCGCUUGCCUAGCAUGCAUGAGGCACUGAGUUCGAUCUUAGCACUACA